This 396-nucleotide ribosomal RNA is filed under the name uncultured bacterium. RNAcentral's name for it is "partial 16S ribosomal RNA". It matches the Rfam family "Bacterial small subunit ribosomal RNA", at positions 523 to 918 of the family's 1533-position model. The record is from RNAcentral.
AUACGUAGGUGGCAAGCGUUGUCCGGAAUUAUUGGGCGUAAAGCGCAUGUAGGCGGUAAUUUAAGUCUGUCGUGAAACUGCGGGGCUCAGCCCCGUAUGGCGAUGGAAACUGGGUUACUUGAGUGCAGGAGAGGAAAGGGGAACUCCCAGUGUAGCGGUGAAAUGCGUAGAUAUUGGGAAGAACACCGGUGGCGAAGGCGCCUUUCUGGACGGUUUCGGACGCUGAGAUGCGAAAGCAAGGGUAGCGAACGGGAUUAGAUACCCCGGUAGUCCUGGCCGUAAACGAUGGGUACUAGGUGUGGGAGGUAUCGACCCCUUCCGUGCCGGAGUUAACGCAAUAAGUACCCCGCCUGGGGAGUACUGCCGCAAGGCUUAAACUCAGAUGAAUUGACGGGG